UGCAGUCGAACGCGCAGCGAAAGGUGCUUGCACCUUUCAAGCGAGUGGCGAACGGGUGAGUAACACGUGGAUAACCUGCCUCAAGGCUGGGGAUAACAUUUGGAAACAGAUGCUAAUACCGAAUAAAACUUAGUAUCGCAUGAUACAAAGUUGAAAGGCGCUACGGCGUCACCUAGAGAUGGGUCCGCGGUGCAUUAGUUAGUUGGUGGGGUAAAGGCCUACCAAGACAAUGAUGCAUAGCCGAGUUGAGAGACUGAUCGGCCACAUUGGGACUGAGACACGGCCCAAACUCCUACGGGAGGCUGCAGUAGGGAAUCUUCCACAAUGGGCGAAAGCCUGAUGGAGCAACGCCGCGUGUGUGAUGAAGGCUUUCGGGUCGUAAAGCACUGUUGUAUGGGAAGAAAUGCUAGAAUAGGGAAUGAUUCUAGUUCGACGGUACCAUACCAGAAAGGGACGGCUAA
This 461-nucleotide ribosomal RNA is filed under the name uncultured bacterium. RNAcentral's name for it is "bacterial SSU rRNA". It matches the Rfam family "Bacterial small subunit ribosomal RNA", at positions 56 to 500 of the family's 1533-position model. The record is from RNAcentral.